GAGUCCUAUUUCCUGGUUUCUAAGAGUCACGGUUAAAAAAUUCUCAGAAACUUCUUAAAUUUGCCUGUGGAUGGAACCUUAGUGGGCUGGAAAGAUGAAGCCAAACUGUCAAGGGAGAGUGAAUCCGAGGAUUUUCUUUCAAGCUGCUGGACACCCAUCUUGAAAGUUUGGUGUGACGGUGUUUAGGACACGCUGUUCUGAAAUCUGGCAACUUGGCAUCUGAGAAACAGCAGAAACAGGAAAGCCUCUCUGGCCUUCCCCUUGCCCUUCUCCCCUGAAGCAGGUCGUAGACGCCAGGGUGAUCUCUCACUUUCCCUCCCCCUCCUCCUUGAAGCAGGUCAUGAGAUCCUCAUUCCAGAGGUACCUUCCCUAGGAAAGGGACCUCUUUAUCUCUGAAGACACAGGGACACUGAGAAGACUGCACAAAUAGGCCUUGCUAAGUUCUCCCCAGUUUAUUCCCACUAGAUCCUACCCCCUUCAUCCAAUCGUAUUUUCCCAUGACUGCUUACUCUUCCCCAAACCUAAGCAUAAAAUUAUGUAAAUUUACCUAUUUCUUUGGAUCUUCAACUUCACACAGAGGCUCUUGUGUCACAUACAACUUAUAUUAAAUAAAUUUGUAUGCUUUUCUCUUGUUAA
Long non-coding RNA from Lemur catta (Ring-tailed lemur), 636 nucleotides. RefSeq lists it as uncharacterized. The record is from RefSeq and is a predicted model, not a curated record. NCBI's taxonomy places the organism in Eukaryota, Metazoa, Chordata, Mammalia, Primates, Lemuridae. The transcript has 2 exons.